This 468-nucleotide ribosomal RNA is filed under the name uncultured bacterium. Its description in RNAcentral is "bacterial SSU rRNA". It matches the Rfam family "Bacterial small subunit ribosomal RNA", at positions 329 to 794 of the family's 1533-position model. The record is from RNAcentral.
UCCCAGACUCCUACGGGAGGCAGCAGUGAGGAAUAUUGGUCAAUGGCCGCAGGGCUGAACCAGCCAAGUCGCGUGAGGGAUGACGGUCCUAUGGAUUGUAAACCUCUUUUGUCAGGGAGCAAAGGGCGCCACGUGUGGCGUUUUGCGAGUACCUGAAGAAAAAGCAUCGGCUAACUCCGUGUCAGCAGCCGCGGUAAUACGGAGGAUCCGAGCGUUAUCCGGAUUUAUUGGGUUUAAAGGGUGCGUAGGCGGCCUUUUAAGUCAGCGGUGAAAGUCUGUGGCUCAACCAUAGAAUUGCCGUUGAAACUGGGGGGCUUGAGUAUGUUUGAGGCAGGCGGAAUGCGUGGUGUAGCGGUGAAAUGCAUAGAUAUCACGCAGAACUCCGAUUGCGAAGGCAGCAUACCGGCGCGCAACUGACGCUCAUGCACGAAAGCGUGGGUAUCGAACAGGAUUAGAUACCCGCGUAAA